Molecule: long non-coding RNA, 747 nt
Filed under: Setaria viridis
Lineage: Eukaryota; Viridiplantae; Streptophyta; Magnoliopsida; Poales; Poaceae
Description: long non-coding RNA (SVIR_LNC010336)
Source: RNAcentral
AUGAAGCCGAUGGAUGGGGAUUUGUAAGGAUAUGCAUCAGGUAAUUCUACCCUAACCUUCCAGACGCCGCCUUGAUAGAUACCUACCAAAUUGGGCACAAAUUCAUUAGGCAACGCAGCUUCUCAAAUCAGAAUAGCCUACUAAAAAUUCACUGUAACAAGAGGAUGCUUCAGGUCAACUGAACAACUGAGCAAUCAACCCAGCAUAAAGCUAAAUCAGUAGUUGCCCAAGUGAUCAACAGGGGAAAUUCACGGUUUUACUUCAUAUUCGCUUCCUCUAACUAAAUCUAGAUCAGGAACUGGGACGCGGAUCACCAGCCCAAGAGGCAGGAAGUCAGGUAGGAGAGGAAGCGGGUUGCAAAAGAGGGCUCGUACUUUCUGUCGGCCCCUUGAAUUCGACGAAGAAUUCCUGCAUCCCGUCGUUCACCAUCUCCACCUUGUAGUCGCUCAUCAUCCUGCAACGCCAACCCAAGAGCGCCCCCAAGAAAGGCCAGAUCAAAAACACAAACAAACAGAACCCAUCAAGGUGAAAUUGAAAGACGAAUUAGAGCUCCAAGAUCCUCACAGCUUCAUGAGGUCCAUCUCGCGGCGCUUGCUUGGUGACGACAUCUCGGAAAGCGGAGGUGAACAAGAAGCGCCCCCCUCUCCUCGCCCUCUGGAGUCCGGAGACGCGGCUCCUGCCUUCGGGAUAAGAGGGAGAAAGGGAUUGCGCAGCCCUGUACGGUGCGUCCGCGUCGCCGUGCGCCCC